Molecule: long non-coding RNA, 260 nt
Organism: Manis pentadactyla (Chinese pangolin)
Lineage: Eukaryota; Metazoa; Chordata; Mammalia; Pholidota; Manidae
Exons: 2
Source: RefSeq, a predicted model, not a curated record
CUGAUUUCCGAGAACUUGAGCGGCCACCGGAUCGAGACCCCCCCGGGAGAGGUGAGGACGCUGCGGGCUCCAGAGGAAGAGGCGGGGCAGGGUUUCGUCGUAGUGGGACAGGAAGGGGAAGGCUAAGGUUCCUCUUCCCUACCUUCAUCAGAGGAUCAUCAUACCAACCACCUAGAAUAUCAAGGACUGGCAAGAUUUAUGCUGCCUCUGACUUUCAGUGUUUGGAUUUAGCAUAUUUAUAAAAGACCUGUUGGACUGGG